GAUGAACGCUGGCGGCGUGCUUAAUACAUGCAAGUCGAACGGAGGGUUAGCAAUAACUCUUAGUGGCGAACGGGUGAGUAACGCGUUGGUGACCUGCCCCGAAGACAGGGAUAACAGUUCGAAAGGACUGCUAAUACCCGAUGAAGUUAUGGUGGUUAGAGUGCCGUAACAAAAGGAGCGAUCCGCUUUGGGAGGGGCCUGCGUCCCAUCAGCUAGUUGGUAAGGUAAAGGCUUACCAAGGCGAAGACGGGUAGGGGACCUGAGAGGGUGAUCCCCC
This 277-nucleotide ribosomal RNA is filed under the name uncultured bacterium. Its description in RNAcentral is "partial 16S ribosomal RNA". It matches the Rfam family "Bacterial small subunit ribosomal RNA", at positions 28 to 309 of the family's 1533-position model. The record is from RNAcentral.